CCAUGGGAUAACUACCCAACACCCUCAAAAAACUGGUGAACUCUUGAACCUCAGCCAUGGCAUUCUGAGCCCUAACAUCCGCCAUUGAAGCUUCAAAAUCAACAUAAAACAUAUACUCAAAAUGCUUAGCCGUCCCAACAUUCACAUCAUCCACAACUCGAACCGGCCGGUUCAGGUUAGGCCUACUCUCAAUCUUCAACAAUCUAAUAUUCCUAAACUCAAACGCCGAUAAAACCUUAUACAACACCGUCGUUCCUCUAUCCUGAGCAAACACAAUACUCGUCUUAUACGGCCGGUCCGUUCUCGCCACCACCGGUUCACGUGCGAGCAUCAUGAACCGUGUUACGCAACUCGAAUCGUCCUGUAUCGACUCAGCGAGUAUGUUUAAAUUGUAGAUCUCGGCAGCGCGUGGUGACGCAAUCGCCGCCGUGUCACGGAGGUUAUUCGCCGCCACGUGUUCCGCAGCUCCAGCGGUAUCAGCCACCGCCUCACGAACGACGUGGUUAAAUCCGAAUCCGAGUUUGUUCAGAGUUAACUCGCACUGAGCGAGAGCUUGUGGAUGACUAAUCACGCGCUUGAUGUGCUCCGUACGGACGCCUGGUAAGGCCACAAGGCAGUGGCGGAACGAGAUCUGGAUCUCGCCGACGAUGUGGAGUCGGUGGCGGAGGAGGAGGUCGUAGUUCCGGUGAACGCUGCCACCGAGAGAGUUUUCCACCGGUAAAACUGCUCGAUCGGCGAUCCAAAGCUCUACGGAUUGAAAUGCGAGUUCUGAAUUGUUACACGGAAUAGGUUUGCACUCCGGAUAAGCUUUUCCGGCGGCGGUUUCACUGUACGCGCCGGGAAGACCUUGAUAGGCUACACGUAACCUUGAACUGUGGUUUGCAGCCGGUGAAGUGUUGGUGAGUGGUUUUGGAAGCUUGUUCACCGAUAUCAGAUUCAGAUCUAGCAUGUUGCGGUUAUUAACAACGGUGAUAAUAUCAUUAUUAUUGUUAUUGUGAUUGUUAUUAUCUGUACCGGUUGUGUUCUCGGUGUUCUGCUGCUGUAACACCACCUUACCGACUGACGGAACCGUUGUAGAGACGGUUGGAUUAGAGUGGUAACGGCGUGCGGUUGAUUGGACGGUGAAAGUGAGGCGGUGAGGGUCGGGUGACGGUGACGGCGUUUGCAUUAGUGGCUUGAAAGUAAUUUUGGGAUACGGCGAUAAAGUUUGCAUGUUUUCUGGUUAUAUGAAAUAUCGGAGGUGAAGCUUGGUGAAGGGGUAAUCGCCAAGCUGAGAAAUGUGAAGGAGAAUUGGGUUUUUAUAUUGGGAUGAAGGAAAAGAGUAGAGAAGACUUGAAUGGGUCAAGCUCACACCUACUACUCUAAGGUAUGACAUUGUUGAAAAAAUUAAUAAAAUAGAUUUGUUUUGUUUGUUGGAUAUGGAAAAAAGUUUACAUUUAGGAAACUUAGAGUGCAAGGAAUAAUUUUGGGAUACGGCGAUAAAGUUUGCAUGUUUUCUGGUUAUAUGAAAUAUCGGAGGUGAAGCUUGGUGAAGGGGUAAUCGCCAAGCUGAGAAAUGUGAAGGAGAAUUGGGUUUUUAUAUUGGGAUGAAGGAAAAGAGUAGAGAAGACUUGAAUGGGUCAAGCUCACACCUACUACUCUAAGGUAUGACAUUGUUGAAAAAAUUAAUAAAAUAGAUUUGUUUUGUUUGUUGGAUAUGGAAAAAAGUUUACAUUUAGGAAACUUAGAGUGCAAGGAAGUAAUUAAUUAAUUAAUUUGAGCAGAUAAGUAUAGAAGUUAUUUUAUUGAAUUUAUUUGAUUUUUAAAUUUUGGAGGCAUAGUUAGUUUUAAAUUAGCAUUGUUCUAACUGAAUGUCCAAGGUGUGUAACCCAUAAAUAUAUAUAGCAUAGCAUAUAAGGCUGUCCAAAAAGCUAGGGCUUGGAGCUUGUUCAGAUUUAGUUUGGAAAAAGCUUGCUUGAUGUGGCUCGAUUUGAAAGUGACCCGUUUGAGCAAUUGAAGAUGUGAGACAAAGAAACAAUAUUGAAGAAUUCACUUGCAAGGUAUCCGAGUUAGUUAGCAAAUUUAAUGCGCCAUGAUGCGUGUUAGUGUAUAUAUGUUUUUAGAUAUAUAUUUAAGCCCUUUUUACACUUUUAGCCAAGUUUUAAAUUUAUAAAACACGAUAUUUACUAACACUAAGCACACAUAUGGGCAAGUGCACCCAUCGUGGACGUAGUAUAGUGUUGGUAAGAUACCGAGGUCGUCCAAGGACACAAGAGCUUUUAAUACCGGUUUAUCCUCAACGUCUAAUCAAAUCAAAAAGUUAGAGAAAUGUUUUAAACUAAGAAAAAUAAAAACUAACUA
RNAcentral lists this long non-coding RNA (2340 nucleotides) under Helianthus annuus (common sunflower). RNAcentral describes it as "hypothetical non coding rna". The record is from RNAcentral. Lineage: Eukaryota; Viridiplantae; Streptophyta; Magnoliopsida; Asterales; Asteraceae.